Molecule: ribosomal RNA, 492 nt
Filed under: uncultured bacterium
Lineage: Bacteria
Description: partial 16S ribosomal RNA
Rfam family: Bacterial small subunit ribosomal RNA
Source: RNAcentral
AGUGAACGCUGGCGGUAGGCCUAACACAUGCAAGUCGAACGGCAGCACAGUAAGAGCUUGCUCUUACGGGUGGCGAGUGGCGGACGGGUGAGGAAUACAUCGGAAUCUACUUUUUCGUGGGGGAUAACGUAGGGAAACUUACGCUAAUACCGCAUACGACCUACGGGUGAAAGCAUGGGAUCUUCGGACCUUGCGCGAUUGAAUGAGCCGAUGUCGGAUUAGCUAGUUGGCGGGGUAAAGGCCCACCAAGGCGACGAUCCGUAGCUGGUCUGAGAGGAUGAUCAGCCACACUGGAACUGAGACACGGUCCAGGCUCCUACGGGAGGCAGCAGUGGGGAAUAUUGGACAAUGGGCGCAAGCCUGAUCCAGCCAUACCGCGUGGGUGAAGAAGGCCUUCGGGUUGUAAAGCCCUUUUGUUGGGAAAGAAAAGCAGCAGGUUAAUACCCCGCUGUUCUGACGGUACCCAAAGAAUAAGCACCGGCUAACUUCGUA